This is an RNA transcript of Oncorhynchus gorbuscha (pink salmon), 2857 nucleotides long. It is a transcript of the gene named dynein, axonemal, intermediate chain 1, paralog 2, with no coding region annotated. The transcript has 21 exons. The record is from RefSeq and is a predicted model, not a curated record. Lineage: Eukaryota; Metazoa; Chordata; Actinopteri; Salmoniformes; Salmonidae.
AAGACUCAGACUGGACAUGUUCGUUGGCACGGCAACUGAUAAACACUUGCAGCAGCUGGAGUGGAGUUACAGUUUGAAAACUUUUAAUCUCUCUAUUUAAAUAAUUGUUGUAUAGCGCUCGUUAUCUAUACAAUAAAAGGGUAUUUCUUAUCAAUAGUGUGUUAUCUCUUGGACACAAUGCCUGUAGUUCACAAGACAGGAACUGUGAAAUCCAAGCAGGGGUCAAACACUCAGUCCCAGAAGGCACCCGCAGCAAAGACUGCAAAAGCUGCCAGCAAGAAAAAGGAUGAGGAGGAUGGAACAGAGAUGGGUGAAGGAGAUGAGUGGAUGCAAGGGAAGACUCUGAUCAAGCCACUUGACCAGCUGGAUCUCACUGAGGCUGAGUUAAAAGAGGAAUUCACCAGGAUCCUGACUGCAAACAAUCCACAUGCCCCUCAGAAUAUCGUCCGCUACAGCUUCAAGGAACGUUCAUACAAGCCAAUCAGCAGUGUGGAUCAGCUGGCUGUCCACUUUGUGCUGGAGGGUAACCUGUUGCACCAGGACUCAGAUGAGGCACGCAGACAGAGGGCCAAACAGGGCCUCCCUGAGGAAAAAGCCACAGUUGAGACCACUGUAGCUGAAAAGCCUGAGACUCCGGCUGCCGGUGGGGAGGAUGCAGGGGAUGUGGAGGAGGGCGGGGGAGAGGAGAGAGCUGACAGUGUGGAGUCCAAGGCUGGCAAGAAGGAGCAGAAAAUCACCAACCAGUUCAACUUCAGUGAGAGGGCCUCCCAAACUCUCAACAACCCACUCAGGGAAAGGGGAUGUCAGACAGAGCCCCCUCCUCGUGCAAACUUCUCAGCUACUGCCAAUCAGUGGGAGAUCUAUGACGUGUAUUUGGAGGUGCUGCAGAAGCAGGAGAAGAACAAGGAGAAGGCGAAAGCCGUCCCCAAGAAGGACGACGACAAAGGCAAGAAGAAGAUGAUGCUGGUGGAGACCCAGAGUGAUGACAUCACCAAAGUGGCCAAGGUGGCCAAGAUCAUCGAGCGGAUGGUGAACCAAAACACGUUUGACGACAUUGCACAAGAUUUUAAGUACUUUGAGGAUGCUUCUGAUGAGUACCGGGAGCAGGAGGGCACCCUUCUCCCCCUCUGGAAGUUUCAGUACGACAAAGCCAAGAGGCUGUCUGUUACUGCCCUCUGCUGGAAUGAAAGCUACAAAGAUUUGUUUGCCGUCGGCCUUGGAUCAUAUGACUUCACCAAGCAGGGGCGGGGCAUGCUGGUGUUCUACUCCCUGAAAAACUCCACUUUCCCUGAGUAUAUCUACCCCACUACGUCAGGCAUCCUGUGCCUGGACAUCCACAAGCACCUGCCCUACCUGGUGGCCGUGGGCUUCUACGACGGCUGCGUGGCCGUCUACAACCUCAAAGAAGAGACGCUGCAGCCCAUCUAUAAGAGCACCGCCAAGUCUGGCAAGCACACCGACCCUGUGUGGCAGGUGAAGUGGCAGAAGGACGACAUGGACAACAAUCACAACUUCUUCUCUGUGUCAUCUGAUGGCCGUGUGGUGUCAUGGACUCUUGUCAAGAAUGAGCUGGUCUUCACAGACAUCAUCAAGCUGUCGUUGGCGGGAGCUGUGUCAGAAGGACCAGAAGGCGUGCAACUUCCCAUCAUGGCUUGUGGAACAUCCUUCGACUUCCACAAACAGAUUGACUACCUCUUCCUGGUUGGCACGGAGGAGGGCAAGAUUCACAAGUGCUCCAAGGCUUAUUCCAGCCAGUUCCUGGAGACCUACAAUGCCCAUAACAUGGCAGUGGACGCAGUUAAGUGGAACCACUUCCACACCAAGGUCUUUAUAUCCUGCAGCUCUGAUUGGACCGUCAAGAUCUGGGACCACACCAUCAAGACCCCAAUGUUCACCUUUGACCUGAACGCCUCUGUGGGAGAUGUGGCAUGGUCUCCUUACUCCUCCACUGUCUUCGCUGCAGUCACCACUGAUGGCAAGGUUCAUACCUUUGACCUUAGCAUCAACAAAUAUGAGGCCAUCUGCCAGCAGCCGGUGGUGGCCAAGAAAAAGACUAAGCUGACUCACAUUGAGUUUAACCCCGUCUACCCCAUCAUCAUCGUGGGAGACGACCGAGGAUAUGUUACGAGCCUCAAGCUCUCGCCUAACCUGCGCAAAAAACCCAAGGCCCACCCCUACUCCCCGGGCCUUCGAUGGCCAUCCGGCGUACACGGUGAGAUGCCUCCUGAGGGUUCGACCAUGGGGCAGGGUUUUCCAGUACCUGGUUGACUUGGAGGGUUAUUGCCCAGAGGAGAGGUGCUGGGUCCCUGCUAGAGACAUCCUGGACCCAGCCCUCAUCGCUGACUUCAACCGCCGGCACCCCGGUCAACCUGGUAUGCGCCCAGGAGAAGAAGGGUCAGGAGUUGCCCAAGGGGCCUGAGGUGGAGAUCGCCAAGAUGGAGAAGCUGCUGAGUUUACUGCGGGAGCCAGAGAACAGCAAUGCUUAGAAACUAUGACAACACCAUGCAGGACUGUAGUCGCCCACUAUUUUUACUACUGCACUCCAGUUAUAAACCCACCACCACCAUCAUGCCUUAUUACUACUGUCUUCUGUCUUCUAAAGCUGCAUACUAAAGCCACCGUUCCUUCCCAUGUUGAAGUAUAGUGCAGUCUAUUGAAUCUGUGCAAUCUAGCCUACUGUUUUUCUCACUCUUGCGCUGUGCACUAUACUAAACAUAUAGAUAGUCAGUGUGCAACCAGCAACGUCUCCUUUACUUGAUGCGGCAAAACCACUCAAGCUUUGGGUUAUAUUUUCUUUGUUUUGGAAAACAGAGUAGCUCAGUUUGUUUGGAAAUAUUCAUAAAAAAUAUUUAUCAUU